Molecule: transfer RNA, 76 nt
Filed under: Staphylococcus aureus
Lineage: Bacteria; Bacillati; Bacillota; Bacilli; Caryophanales; Staphylococcaceae
Also listed under: 4 other names
Description: tRNA-Lys (TTT) (tRNA-Lys-TTT-1-1)
Rfam family: tRNA
About the family: Transfer RNA (tRNA) molecules are approximately 80 nucleotides in length. Their secondary structure includes four short double-helical elements and three loops (D, anti-codon, and T loops). Further hydrogen bonds mediate the characteristic L-shaped molecular structure. tRNAs have two regions of fundamental functional importance: the anti-codon, which is responsible for specific mRNA codon recognition, and the 3' end, to which the tRNAs corresponding amino acid is attached (by aminoacyl-tRNA synthetases). tRNAs cope with the degeneracy of the genetic code in two manners: having more than one tRNA (with a specific anti-codon) for a particular amino acid; and 'wobble' base-pairing, i.e. permitting non-standard base-pairing at the 3rd anti-codon position.
Source: RNAcentral
GAGCCAUUAGCUCAGUUGGUAGAGCAUCUGACUUUUAAUCAGAGGGUCAGAGGUUCAAAUCCUCUAUGGCUCACCA